GGUACAUGAGCUGGGUUCAGAACGUCGUGAGACAGUUCGGUCUGUAUCCGUCGUGGGCGUAGGAGCAUUGAGGGGCGCCGACCUUAGUACGAGAGGACCGGGUCGGACCGACCGCUCGUGUACCGGCUGUCACGCCAGUGGCACCGCCGGGUAGCGAUGUCGGGUCGGGAUAACCGCUGAAAGCAUCUAAGUGGGAAGCCCUCCCCAAGAUAAAUGCUCCCGGAGCGCAAGCUCCCUGAAGGGCCCUCGGAGACUACGAGGUAAUAGGCGGCAGGUGUACAGGCGCGUAAGCGUGUCAGCCGAGCCGUACUAAUCGCCCGUGAGGCUUGAUCUC
RNAcentral lists this ribosomal RNA (334 nucleotides) under Gemmatimonadales bacterium. RNAcentral's name for it is "partial 23S ribosomal RNA". It matches the Rfam family "Bacterial large subunit ribosomal RNA", at positions 2595 to 2925 of the family's 2925-position model. Lineage: Bacteria; Pseudomonadati; Gemmatimonadota; Gemmatimonadia; Gemmatimonadales. The record is from RNAcentral.